RNAcentral lists this long non-coding RNA (622 nucleotides) under Equus caballus (horse). RNAcentral's name for it is "lncRNA (ENSECAG00000058905.1)". Lineage: Eukaryota; Metazoa; Chordata; Mammalia; Perissodactyla; Equidae. The record is from RNAcentral.
GUUUCUGAUUAUAUAGACUGGAGGAUAACCAUGCCUUUCACAGUGUCUAUUUCCUUGUAAGAUAACAUCAUUUGCAGCAUUUUGAAAUAACGAACUUGUUCUUUUUUAUAUGUCUAGAUUAGGGCGAUACUUGUUCUUCUCCCAGCUAAAUGAGGCAAAAGGAAAUUCUAAUAGGCCCUGGGAAAAGUAAUUAAUGGGUCAGAACAGCCUCAUCCAUUUCUUUUGAGCAGUGCUCCCUGCAUGAGUGAACUGUAGGCAAAAUCCCCUCUCUUGCCUGCUCUCCAAUCAUCAAGUGUGUGAUGCCACUUCUGGGGAUCAGGACCUUCUAGACAACUUAGAGUUCCUUCAAGUCGGUAGAAGGCUGGAAGCAGAAGUUUGGAGGAGAUCAGAGCAGGGCUUGAUCGGGGACAGUGACCCUGUGUCAGAGCCAGGAAAUGUGCCCCAAGUUGAUGAAUUACCAUGGUUUUAUAUAACAUCAUGGAUUUGUCAGAAUUUGAUCAUCUUGCUGCUCCAAGAAUCAAACAAACCACUACCACAACAAACAGUCCUUUGGAAAGCAAGGAUGUCCUUGGGAAUAUAAACAGGUGCAACAGGGGCGAGGUCUUUCAGCAGUUCCACUCCU